RNAcentral lists this ribosomal RNA (262 nucleotides) under Clostridium perfringens. RNAcentral's name for it is "partial 23S ribosomal RNA". It matches the Rfam family "Bacterial large subunit ribosomal RNA", at positions 1296 to 1557 of the family's 2925-position model. The record is from RNAcentral. Lineage: Bacteria; Bacillati; Bacillota; Clostridia; Eubacteriales; Clostridiaceae.
GUUGGCAUCAGUAGCGAGAUGUGGGUGAGAAUCCCACAGGCCGAAAACCUAAGGUUUCCUCAGGAAGGUUCGUCCGCUGAGGGUUAGUCGGGACCUAAGCCGAGGCCGAAAGGCGUAGGUGAUGGACAACUGGUUGAUAUUCCAGUACCACUACCAUCGUUAUUAUCGAUGGCGUGACGCAGGAGGAUAGUGUGUGCUAGCUAUUGGAUGCUAGUCUAAGCGUUUAGGCAGUGAGAGUAGGCAAAUCCGCUCUCAUAAUGCU